GCCGGAGUGGCGGAAUGGUAGACGCAGCGGACUCAAAAUCCGCCGGGCCUCGGGUCUGUGGGAGUUCGAGUCUCCCCUCCGGCACCA
RNAcentral lists this transfer RNA (87 nucleotides) under Aminobacterium colombiense. RNAcentral's name for it is "tRNA-Leu". It matches the Rfam family "tRNA". From Rfam's summary of the family: Transfer RNA (tRNA) molecules are approximately 80 nucleotides in length. Lineage: Bacteria; Thermotogati; Synergistota; Synergistia; Synergistales; Aminobacteriaceae. The record is from RNAcentral. RNAcentral also lists the same sequence under 1 other name.